UCAAGUUGCUGUUCCAAAUCGAGCUCUAUUAUAAUUACUCCUGUUGUUGAGUUUCUUGUCCGAUGGGAUUUUUUUGAGGAUGCCAUUAAUGGCGCAAGGAGAACAUUGGAGGGGCUCUGUAGUACAAACCGAACCCUAAGUUCCAAUCUUCAGCUAGCAGAACAUAGAAGGUCUCUUCCUAUUUGCUUCAGUCCAGUGGAGAAACGUUUGAUUGAGGAGGUUCGAAAGAAUGAUAUUUCGAUUAUUGUUGGUGAAACCGGUAGUGGCUAUCUCUAUUUUGCUCGGAACCAAGUUAAUUGAUGUUCUGUGUAUUUUUUUUUCUCUUUUUUUCGCUCACGAAGAAUUGCCUCAGUUCGUAUACAAUGCUGGAUUCUGUCGGGAGGGAAAGAUGAUUGGCUUUUACUUUGGUGGACGUGAGGUUCCUGGGCAGUGCUUUCGUCUUUAUCCGGAGUGGGAAUUUGAGAGACUCGAAGAUAUUCAACUAAACCAGAGAUCAAGAGAUGCAAUCUCUCAAAUAUAAUUUUGCAGCUGACGGCUCUGGGAACUAAUGAUAUAGUUGGAUUUAGAUAAACCUUCAAGUGGUGAGGAAAACCACGGGAUGACGGUUGGAGUUUGCUCUAGAAGUAGCGAUGUUGCUGAGCCUAUGUUAAAGCCUCAGUGGUACGUGAGUUGCAACGUGAUGGCAACGGAGGCUCUUGAUGUUGCAGCAGUACUCUGCUGAAUUGAGAAGAUGGCUAGAGAACAUAUGCGACUGGUGCAUCUCGAGACAGCUUUGAAUACCGGCAUGAUACGCCGCUCUAGAAGAAGACGAUCACCUUAAGGAAGCAGGUGCCUACGACGACCAAGAAACGAGGAAGAUGCUUCCGUUAUCCGUUUUGGGGUGGCCAGAUGAAACCGAGGACUUCAAUGGGUCUGAUUAGUAACAUAAUGGAGCUCAACUCGGAUUGGAACACCACGACCUCUUGUUGCUUCUCCGAUAUACACUCUACCUAUAUCCACCAUUGGUAUGAUCUCACUUGGUCAGGUGCAAUUAGAAACCCACUCUCAAAACCGCUACUAGAAACUGCUCUUUCUCCUUUAUCUUUCUCUUUGUUCUCCUUUUCCUCAGUCUGGUCACAACACCACCAGCUCCGAUCUGCAGCUGAUGAACUUGCCACUGCCUCACCACCGCCAUGGAUCAGUCUCACCUUUGUUGCCGUUCAUCCGAUGUCAAAGUUAUUAUAACUAUGCCACUCCAAAGUCCAACCACAAUGUAUAUCACCAUUAAAAUCUAAAUUUUGUUCUGAUGUGGAAUCUACCAACCAAGCGUUAGGGGGUUUCUCAGAAAACAGUUUGAAGUAAAAAUCAAAAAUCCCAUGAAAUUUCAAAGAGUUUUUAAUAAGUAUUAUAUUUUGUACA
This is a non-coding RNA of Camelina sativa (false flax), 1398 nucleotides long. Lineage: Eukaryota; Viridiplantae; Streptophyta; Magnoliopsida; Brassicales; Brassicaceae. The record is from RefSeq and is a predicted model, not a curated record.